UGCAGAGACUCCAGGGAUGGGAGGGUCCGGAUGACUUCUCUGGGGGCAGGGGACAAGGUGAACAUCAAGGUUUAGUGGGCACCGGAAAGAGUCUUCCAUGGCAGCACGGGCUCUAGCCAGAGAUGAGGGCACCCUCGGUCCAGCAGAAGCAGAAUUAGGAUAACCAGAGAUUACGGCUCUUGAUCAUUAUUGCCAAACCUAGUCAUGGAGCAGCUAGAAGCUGAAGGAAGCUCUCUCCAUCGGCACUACGUACCCGAGAAGAAGACAAGUUGGGGAAGCUGGCGCCGCCAUAGUGAUG
This 298-nucleotide long non-coding RNA is filed under the name Pan troglodytes (chimpanzee). Its description in RNAcentral is "long non-coding RNA NONPTRT011194". The record is from RNAcentral. Lineage: Eukaryota; Metazoa; Chordata; Mammalia; Primates; Hominidae.